This 72-nucleotide transfer RNA is filed under the name Ophiocomina nigra. RNAcentral's name for it is "transfer RNA-Ile". Lineage: Eukaryota; Metazoa; Echinodermata; Ophiuroidea; Amphilepidida; Ophiocomidae. The record is from RNAcentral.
AGGUAAGUCUCUAUUGGAAGGGGAGGUUAGCCGAUAACUAACCUUUAACUAGUUCGAAUCUAGUCUUAUCUU